AAAAACUUCUCUAGCUGCUGUGUCACAAAGAUACUGGAAAGGGGCAAGGUGAAGGAGGAGACCAGCAGAGCAGCCACGGCCGGGACAGUGCAGAGGAGGGAAGAUGACACAGCUGUGAGACAUUUUGGGGUUACAGCAAGAAGGCAGCUGUCUGCAAGCCUGAAGAGAGCCCUUACCAGGAGCCAAAUCUGCCAGCACCCUGAUCUUGGACUUCCAGAACUGUGAGAAAUAAAUUCCUGUUCCUGAAGCCACUCAGUCCGUGGGAUUCUAUUAGCAGUCGGGACUGACUUGGACACUGUUCCUGGAGCAACGCUAGUGGCCUGGGGAAGCUGGGCCCUGGGACUGGUGCAGGGAGGGCCACAGUCCCAGCCUAUAGCAGCUGAAGCUGCAUUUGUCCCCAGGAAGAGGACAUCACAGACACAACCCCAGAGGCAGUGGGAGGGGGCAUGAUUG
Molecule: long non-coding RNA, 453 nt
Filed under: Homo sapiens (human)
Lineage: Eukaryota; Metazoa; Chordata; Mammalia; Primates; Hominidae
Description: non-protein coding lnc-BOD1-1:7
Source: RNAcentral